AACGAACGCUGGCGGCAUGCCUAACACAUGCAAGUCGAACGCUACCUUCGGGUCUUGUUGCUCACGGUUACUUACCGCGUGGUAACCUGCCCUUAGGUUCCGUAUCUCUCCCCGGAGGGGGUCCUUAUACCGGAUUAUCUCUUCCGGCCAAAGAUUUAUCGGUUUUUGAUGUGGCCGCGUUGGAUUAGCUAGGUGGUAUAGUAAAAGACUACCAAGGCGAAGAUCUAUAGCUGGUCUUAGAGGAUGAUCAGCAACACUGUGACUGAGACACGGACGAGACUCCUACGGGAGGAAGCAGGGGGGAAUAAUGGACAAUGGGUGAAAGAAGGAGACAGCCAGGCCGCGUGAGUGAUGAAGGAGAGAGGGUUGUAAAGCUGUGUUACAAGGGAAGAUAAUGACAGUACCGGGAGAAUAAGCUACGGCUAAUUCCGUG
This 433-nucleotide ribosomal RNA is filed under the name uncultured bacterium. RNAcentral describes it as "partial 16S ribosomal RNA". It matches the Rfam family "Bacterial small subunit ribosomal RNA", at positions 29 to 507 of the family's 1533-position model. The record is from RNAcentral.